AAAAAAGCAGGGUUCUGUUGCCUUUUUAAGCAGUCCUCUCGUAACCUUCAGGAAUAUGAAAACCAUUGUUGUUGGGUGAACCUCUGUUAUCUGUUCAUGACUUAAGGUUCAGUAAAUGAUGUAACAUGA
Molecule: non-coding RNA, 129 nt
Organism: Vigna angularis (adzuki bean)
Lineage: Eukaryota; Viridiplantae; Streptophyta; Magnoliopsida; Fabales; Fabaceae
Source: Rfam